Molecule: small RNA, 92 nt
Filed under: Burkholderia cepacia
Lineage: Bacteria; Pseudomonadati; Pseudomonadota; Betaproteobacteria; Burkholderiales; Burkholderiaceae
Description: Proteo-phage-1
Rfam family: Proteo-phage-1 RNA (bases 15-92)
Source: RNAcentral
GCACAGCGCGGGGCCUUGCCCGAGAUCGCGGGCCACAUGUCUCGGCGUGGAUUAGUCGGUGAGUGCCACGGCUCCGAAAAACCCCGACAGCA